UCUCUUAUCAGAGUUCCCCUACACCCAUCCAGAUCUCACUCAGACCGGCUCAUCUUUCUGGUCAAAGGAUAGUAAAAGGAGAUCCUACCGCUUGCCCCAACAUUUCCUAAAGAUAUCACAAAAGCAGCAGUCUGCUCUGCCUCUCGGUCUUUCCACAGAAGGUCGAUGUUCUUCCUUCCCCCCUUCUGCUGAAGAGGAGUUGUUAUACGGCAAGAAAAUGGUUCCCUGGACAACAGUUCUUGAGAAGAUCUAAUUGACUUCCUCGAUUGGUAUUGGGUUGUGAUCGGUGGAAGGUGGUGGUGGUGUAGGAUUCAACUCUCAGAUGGAACCAAAUCAUUCUUUCUUGGUUCUUUGGAUAAUUCCACACAAUAAGAGGUUCUAAACUUUCCAAAGAGGAGAAGGGAAGAAAAGAAGCUGGCAAACAAGUGGUGGGAGAGAGCAGAUGCGGCGGCAAUGGCCGGAAUGGAGCCCGGCGGCGGCAGCGGAGGCUCUUCUCGCUACCUCCAUCACCUUCUCGGCCCACCGCAACAGCCUGCUGCGCCAUCGACCCACAUCCCACCCGAGGAAUCCAAGCCUUCCUCGGAAGAAAGCCCAAAUCUUUCGGCGGACCUGGGCGAAGGCGACGGCGAUCAACCCUCCACCUCCGCCGCGGUGGGAGGCCCCGUCCGACGCCCCCGCGGCCGGCCCCCGGGCUCCAAAAACAAGCCAAAGCCGCCUAUUAUCGUCACGCGCGACAGCCCCAACUCCCUCCACUCCCACGUGCUCGAGGUGGUCGGCGGCUCCGACGUAGUCGAGUGCGUCACUGACUACGCCCGGCGGCGCGGCCGUGGUGUCUCCGUCCUCAGCGGCUCCGGCGCUGUCGUCAACGUCGCAAUCCGCCAGCCCGGGGCGCUGCCGCCGGGGAGCGUGGUUGCGACUCUCAGGGGUAGGUUCGAGAUCCUCUCGCUGACGGGGACCGUCCUCCCGCCGCCAGCGCCACCUGGCGCCGGGGGUUUGACCAUAUUUCUCUCUGGAGGGCAAGGGCAGGUAAUCGGGGGCAGUGUCGUUGGCCCUCUGGUGGCGGCGGGCCCGGUGGUGCUGAUGGCGGCAUCGUUUGCAAAUGCCAUGUACGAGCGGUUGCCGUUAGAAAUCGAGGAGGAAGUGGCAGCGGCGGUCGAGGGGCAGCAACCAGUGGUUUCGCAGUCGUCAGGUGUUACCGUCAGUGGCGGUGAAGGAGGUGGCGGUGGAGUCGGUGCCGGCGGCGUUCCUUUCUACACUUUGGGUGGGGGAAACAUGGGGAAUUAUCAGCUUCCGGGUGAUCCAUAUGGGUGGGGUGGUGGUGUUCGGCCACCGUUUUGAUUCCACAAGGAGUCUACUACUACUGCUAACUGAUGUCCGUUAUAUACACACUACCAUCAAAGAAGAAGAAGAAGAUUAAAUGGGGUUCAUACUUUUUCUUUCCGAUCAUUUUGGGUGUGGAUUCGAAGAUGGUUUCUUUGAACCACUUUUCUGAUUCCGUUGGUGAUGAUCGUGUCAUCGGAGGCAUGUUCUUAUAUGAACAAAGGAAAGAGUUGGGAGAGAGAGGAGCAGAAGGGACUGCUUGAAGAAUGCUUCCCGAACUAAGUAGCUUCAGUUUGCAUGUAAUAACACAAAUUACAGGCAUCUCCGGAGAGUCCUCCAGGUUUAAACAUUGUUUCUCUAGCCUCGGGGAGAGGAUUUUACCCCCUUAAGACCAACACUGGCAAGACCUUAUGCACUGGACUUUUUGUUCUCUUUGUUUCUUUUUGGUUGCUUAUCAUUACUGUCUCUCUAAGAGUUGUUUUAUUGGAAGGUAACAUGAAGUCUUUCCUAUUGCGGACAGACAUCAUUCUAACACUUGCGACGACGGCUGGGUUUAGGCGCAUACGCAGGUUUUGUAGUACCAUCCGCCAAUUAUUAGAGUCAUCAGUGCGAACACGGUGGAGUGGAUAAGCAAAAUAUAUCUGUCAUUCCUAAACUUGGAAAUGUCUCUUUGGUGGCAUCCACUGUAGCAUUAAUGGACGAGCAACAGGUUGUCCAAAUCAAGUUGGUAGUCAGUCGGUGAGAAAAAUAUCAUUGUUCGAAUUGUUGCAUUCUUUUCUCAAUCUUUUUUGUGUCAGGAAAGAACAACAUUUUGUUAAAUUUGUAAACAUUUUUAAAUU
This is an RNA transcript of Musa acuminata AAA Group (dessert banana), 2159 nucleotides long. It is a transcript of the gene named AT-hook motif nuclear-localized protein 25-like, with no coding region annotated. The transcript is spliced from 3 exons. The record is from RefSeq and is a predicted model, not a curated record. NCBI's taxonomy places the organism in Eukaryota, Viridiplantae, Streptophyta, Magnoliopsida, Zingiberales, Musaceae.